CAUAUACUCGACCACAAGCAUCUAAAAGGGACCUUUCAGUAGGAAGAUUUUAUAAAAAUUGCCAAACAACUUAUAAAAACAAAAACAAUUGUCCCUCAUUUCUAUAUACAAACAACAAUAAUUUAUGCAUCUUUUACAAUCAACUUAAUGCAAGUACCAUAUAAAAACUACAACAUUUCCACAUAUUUUUACCAAAAAAGUAAGACAAUUUACGAAGUACGAAUUACAACCUAUACACAUAUACCUUUCACCAAUAAUUUGACAUAGCCAAACUAGUAAGCCACAAAAUAUAUCAAGGAAAACAUAUGAGAAUUUUCAAGAAUAAGAAAUAAGAUCCAUGUAGAUAACGUCAAGUUACCUGAAUUGAUAGCGACUCCUCUAAGUUUAGAACCUGAAAAGCCAAUUCGGAUGAUAAAAAACUAGUUGUAGUAAAAGUUAGUCUGCUUCUUUUUUCUUUUACUAAAUUUCCAACAAAACUCAAAACAAAAUACCUGCAAAUAGAUUUUAAGAAACGCAGAUGCCUACCACCCCACCAAACAAAAAGUGAGCAAGCUGAAUAACAGAAGCCCGUGCUUGCAAAGUUGGCAUAAAAGAAAAAAGAAGUACACUAUCAUUUGCUACAACUUUGCUACAGAUGAUGGUAUUUGCAAAAGCACACAUCCAAAUGACACUCCAAAGACCAAUGCUAAACUGAAUAUCUGGAUGCAAUGGAAGCAAGACCAUUUUUUGAGACCAUUAUGUAUGUGAAGCUUAUGCAUUUUUCCAAAUUGUCAGAAUGGAUCCUUCGCACAGUCUUAUAAAAUUGUAUUAUGCAGCAAAUAACACUACUUAGUACUCAGUAGUAGACAAGCAUGUUAGAAAAUUUCAUCCAAGAAGGGCGACUAAUAACAAUUUAGCCAUAAAAUAAAAUUUAGGCCUUUCAUGUCUCAAUUAUUGGAAGGAAAGAGAACAUUUGGAUUUUCAAUUUUAGGUAGUAAUUAGGCAUGUCAAAGUCAUUGGAAGGAUACAAGUCAGAAUUAGGGGUGUCCCUGGUCAAUGAAGUAGAUGCAUUAGUGUUUGUAUAUUUGUUGGAAAUAUACAUGAGAGCUUGCACAAUUAUCCAGGUCGUGAGAGCUUAAGGAAUUCCAACACCAUUAGUGAUAUGAAUGAAUGACAAAUGUGUUUCUUACGUGAGAGCUUGCACAAUUUAUCAUUACUCCUAAAAAGAACGGUUGAACGGCAUAAUGAAAUGUUUCUGUUGGUUGUUCUUGUCAAGUAUUAGAAAUCCUGUUUCACACCACCAACAUUCUAAAAUCUCUAAAUUGGUUUUGGUUAUGUACUUCACUGUGACUCUUGGAGCAUUUGUAAGAUUUCAGUAUGUUUAAACAUUUACUUCUGUAAUUCUAUGCUAUGCUUUCAUUAAUUAAAUCUCCAUCAAUUCAAACCAAAAAACAAAAAAAAAGGAAAAACAGAUUAAAAGAAAAACUAAGAGAUUGAACAGUUGCAAAAGGCAGAACAGUUGCAAAGAGAAAAAAACAGACAAUUCCACAAACUGAACCAUCAGUUUCUCAUUCUCAACAUACCCCUCAACAACCAUUUUAGAUCACAAGAGCAAAACCAUCAACAAACCAACCAAAAAAGUGAAACCUCAAGAUAUAAACAACAAUUUUCUCUAACUCUCCAGCUUUUGAAUGUCUCUAUUCAAGUUUUUGAACUUUGUCGACCUCAACGAUGGAGCUUCGAAGGGUAUUUCUCAUUUUAAUUUCCUUCCAAACAGCAAUAAACUAAAUAUUUAAAACUUUGAAUAAACAUUUGGCUCAAAGAAUUGAAACCCAGCUUCUAAAACACCAAUUUUACUAAAACCCCAAAUUUUGAGCAAUCUUCUUUAAUUUUUUUAUCACAAAACUUUUGACGGAGUUCUCAAAUUUUCACCAAAUUUGAGAUAAAAGUUUUAAACCACGCUAAAUUUAAACAUCAAACAUAAAUUAGAACAAAACAUAAUGACUUCAUAGAAAUCCAUUUGUGUAUUUUGUAAGCUUUUCCAAAAACCCUUGAAUGGUAAAUCUAGAGACAGAGAAGUUUUAAGCCAUGGAGGAGAGAGAAUCAUGCAUACCUUUUGUGGUAGAGAACAACAAUAUACUUGGUCGAACAAUUCCUUCGCUGGAUGUGGGUUUGAAGAAGGCUUCAAUUCGCUGAGGAGGGUUUUAUCGCAUGAAGAUCAAGAAAGUCAGAAAGGAGUAAGAAGACCCUGUUUUGAUAUGUAUACUUUAAUUUUUGGUAUUACUUUUUAAUUAUAAAAAUGAUAGCAUUUGCGAGUUUAGUGAAAUAUUGGAGGGAAACUAAUUUGUCCUAAUA
This 2334-nucleotide long non-coding RNA is filed under the name Nicotiana tabacum (common tobacco). RNAcentral's name for it is "long non-coding RNA (NTAB_LNC009196)". Lineage: Eukaryota; Viridiplantae; Streptophyta; Magnoliopsida; Solanales; Solanaceae. The record is from RNAcentral.